CCUACGGGCGGCAGCAGUGAGGAAUAUUGGUCAAUGGGCGCGAGCCUGAACCAGCCAAGUCGCGUGAGGGAAGACGGCCCUAUGGAUUGUAAACCUCUUUUGUCGGGGAGCAAAAGUCGCCGCGCGUGGCCUUCCGCACGUACCCUACGAACAAGCAUCGGCUAACUCCGUGCCAGCAGCCGCGGUAAUACGGAGGAUGCGAGCGUUAUCCGGUUUUAUUGGGUUUAAAGGGUGCGCCGGGGGAUGGUCAAGACAGUGGUCAAAUUGUGGGGCUCAACCUCUUCGAGCCGUUGAAACUGGUAUUCUUGUGUGAGCGAGAAGUAGGCGGAAUGCGUGGUGUAGCGGUGAAAUGCAUAGAUAUCACGAAGAACCCCGAUUGCGAAGGCAGCAUACCGGAGCGCAACUGACGCUCAUGCACGAAAGUGUGGGUAUCGAACAGGAUUAGAUACCCCUGUAGUC
Molecule: ribosomal RNA, 459 nt
Filed under: uncultured bacterium
Lineage: Bacteria
Description: partial 16S ribosomal RNA
Rfam family: Bacterial small subunit ribosomal RNA
Source: RNAcentral